RNAcentral lists this ribosomal RNA (497 nucleotides) under uncultured bacterium. RNAcentral describes it as "bacterial SSU rRNA". It matches the Rfam family "Bacterial small subunit ribosomal RNA", at positions 28 to 526 of the family's 1533-position model. The record is from RNAcentral.
GAUGAACGCUAGCGGGAGGCUUAACACAUGCAAGUCGAGCGGGAAGGGUAGCAAUACCCUGAGAGCGGCGCACGGGUGCGUAACGCGUAUGCAACCUGCCUUAUACAGGGGGAUAGCCCAUGGAAACGUGGAUUAAUAUCCCAUAGGACUUAUGGAUCGCAUGGUUUAUAAGUUAAAACUACGGUGGUAUAAGCUGGGCAUGCGUCUGAUUAGGUAGUUGGUAGGGUAACGGCCUACCAAGCCGACGAUCAGUAGGGGUUCUGAGAGGAUUACCCCCCACACUGGUACUGAGACACGGACCAGACUCCGACGGGAGGCAGCAGUGAGGAAUAUUGGUCAAUGGGCGAGAGCCUGAACCAGCCAUCCCGCGUGCAGGAUGACGGCCCUAUGGGUUGUAAACUGCUUUUCUGCUCCAAGAAACCUGAUUACGUGUAAUCAGUUGACGGUAGAGUAGGAAUAAGCAUCGGCUAACGCCGUGCCAGCAGCCGCAGUAAGAC